AGCUUGGAGGGGCUGUCAGAUGCCCAGGCCCUUGAGGCCGAUCCCAGGUGGAACGGUUCCUAGAAAAGCUCUGGGGGCAAAGCGUGUCCCGUACCAAAACUGACACAGGUGGAUGUGGCGAAUAGCCUAAGGCGCGCGAGAGAACGGUCGUGAAGGAACUAGGCAAAUUAACCCCGUAACUUCGGGAUAAGGGGGCCCUAACUCGCAAGAGAAGGGCGCAGAGAAAAGGAUCUGGGAACUGUUUAUCAAAAACACAGCUCUGUGCUAAGACGCAAGUCGACGUAUACAGAGUGACGCUUGCCCGAUGCCGGAAUGUCAAGAGAGUGGGUCAUCGAAAGAGAAGCUUGCGAUCGAAGCACCGGUGAAUGGCGGCCGUAACUAUGACGGUCCUAAGGUAGCGAAGUUCCUUGUCGGGUAAGUUCCGACGCGCAUGAAUAGCGUAAUCACUGGAUCUCUGUCUCCACGACCGACUCGGUGAAAUAGUAGUGGCGGUGGAGAUGCCGCCUACCCGCAGCAAGACGGAAAGACCCCGUGGACCUUCACUAUAGGUCCCUAUUGGCCACGAGCAUAUGCUGCGUAGCAUAGGUGGGAGGCUUUGACGACCGGGUUCCGGCCCGGUAAGAGCCAAAGGUGAAAUACCACCCUGUGUAAGUUUGUGGCCUAACUCUGAUUCCCAUGAAUCUGGGCGGAGGACAGUGGGCGCCGGGUAGUUUGACUGGGGCGGUCUCCUCCAAAAGAGUAACGGAGGAGCGCAAAGUUCGGCUCAGCACGGAUGGAAACCGUGUUUCGAGUGCAAGAGCAUAAGCCGGAUUUACUGCGAGACCGACGGGUCGAGCAGUCUCGAAAGAGGGCUCUAGUGAUCCUGCGAUCCCGUGUGGAAGGGUCGUAGCUCAACGGAUAAAAGGUACCCCGGGGAUAACAGGCUGAUCGCGCCCAGCGUCCAUAGCGGCGGCGCGGUUUGGCACCUCGAUGUCGGCCCAUCACAUCCUGGGACUGAAGGCGGCCCCAAGGGUUCGGCUGUUCGCCGAUUAAAGUGGUACGCGAGCUGGGUUCAGACCGGCGUGAGCCAGGUCGGUCCCUAUCUGCUGUGGGCGUCGCAAGCUUGAGAGGAGUCAACCUUAGUACGAGAGGAUUGGGUUGGACAUACCCCUGGUGAUCCAGUUGCACUGCUAAGUGCACAGCUGGGUAGCUACGUAUGGCAGGGAUAACCGCUGAAAGCAUCUAAGCGGGAAGCCCCCCUCAAGAUCAGGCUUGCUGGUCGAAAGACGAAAGACCCCUGGUAGACCACCAGGUUGAUAGGCCGCGAGUGUACGGGCAGAAAUGCCUUGAGCUGAGCGGUACUAACGGUCGAACGCUUGGUCAU
RNAcentral lists this ribosomal RNA (1363 nucleotides) under metagenome. Its description in RNAcentral is "bacterial LSU rRNA". It matches the Rfam family "Bacterial large subunit ribosomal RNA", at positions 1547 to 2925 of the family's 2925-position model. The record is from RNAcentral.